AGUGAAUGUUUGUCAAUGUCAAACCAUGAGUGCUAGAAGAAAGAAAAGAGUUACUAGAUUGAUCUCACUCCAGAUCAAUUUUAUUACUGCAGAUAUCAUUAGAAUUUUGUCUGAGUUUAGUAUGAAAGAAUCCAUCAGUAAGAGAUGUCAUGAGGAAUUUCUGCAAUAUUUUCAGUGAGAGAAGUUGUUGGUCUGUGUCCUGGGUUCAAGUCUAAGUAUUAGGCACAUGAUUUAUUGGCUUUUGUUUGCACUUUUAAUAGAUAUUGAGAGUUUAGGCACAUGUUUUUAUUGGCUUUUGGUGGCACUUCUAAUAGAAACUGAUACCCUGCCCUUAAUUGAUAUGAUGAUUGUCUGCCAACUUUUAGUUGACCAAACAGGAAGCCAACAUGAAGGCACAAGUUCAACUUGGAUGUUGAUUAAUGGACCAAUUUGAUGUAAGCUCUUCAAUGCACCCAACCAUACAUAUAUUCCUCUUCAAAUCACUGAAAGGCCAUGUUUCAUUUGAUUUGCCUUGUUUUACUUUCUUAUAUUAAUAUAGCUUAUGAGCAUGACAAUCAUAUAAAAAUCUCAUGGACGAAGUUUUUUCUUUUUUUUUUUUUCCGGCCAUGACAGAAAGAUUGCUGUUAAGUUUACCGCAGAACAAAUUGUUAAAAUGAAUUGGCUAUAUACUAAAUCAAAUUGGCCUGUAAGGUAAGGUUUAGGUCCCUUUUUUUUUUUGGUAGGGAAGGGAGCAUCAGCUAGAUUCAAAGAAGACAGAUAACCCGAUUUUCAGAGCUACAACAUGGAGAAUAACUACAAAACUACCCAACACAUAUACUGGGUAACGCAGCCAAAGUUACAAUAUCAUAAAUAACAACCAAAAUAAGAACAUGCUGCAGAUAAUUGAUGUCAAGGAAGACGAAGCGCUGCACUUCGAAAGUAAUCAGUGAGGUUUAAGUCUUUAAGAGGCAUUCACAAUAUAGUGAACUUGACAUUCCACCA
RNAcentral lists this long non-coding RNA (981 nucleotides) under Elaeis guineensis (African oil palm). RNAcentral describes it as "long non-coding RNA (EGUI_LNC069437)". Lineage: Eukaryota; Viridiplantae; Streptophyta; Magnoliopsida; Arecales; Arecaceae. The record is from RNAcentral.